UACGAAGGGGGCUAGCGUUGCUCGGAAUUACUGGGCGUAAAGCGCACGUAGGCGGCUUUCUAAGUCAGGGGUGAAAUCCUGGAGCUCAACUCCAGAACUGCCUUUGAUACUGAGGAUCUUGAGUAUGGGAGAGGUGAGUGGAACUGCGAGUGUAGAGGUGAAAUUCGUAGAUAUUCGCAAGAACACCAGUGGCGAAGGCGGCUCACUGGCCCAUUACUGACGCUGAGGCACGAAAGCGUGGGGAGCAAACAGGG
Molecule: ribosomal RNA, 254 nt
Filed under: uncultured bacterium
Lineage: Bacteria
Description: partial 16S ribosomal RNA
Rfam family: Bacterial small subunit ribosomal RNA
Source: RNAcentral